GUCUAAAGCCUCCAUUUCCCUGAAAAUUUUGUCUAGAAGGCUGCAUUUCUCAGGCAUAAGCUCUUGCCAGCCAUUCACGGUGAUUACGGGAAGGUUAAGCAUUGUUGGGACUCACAAAACAGCUGUGUUAAGCAUUACUACCUCUGAACGCUUCAGGAGGAAAGCCACAUUCUCCUGUGGAAGGAAAUAGUUGCAGUCCACGCUCCUGCCAUCAGAGUUGGAGACAAGAUGAAGCUGGAGACAGUCCUUCUGCAUGAGCAGGAAACGUUAUUUUACUGGCCAGGCCAGAGGUGAUACCUGCUCCCUUCACCUUCUGCUGUGAGUGGAAGCUCCCUGAAGCUCUCACCAGAAGCAGAUGCUGGCACCAUGCUUCUUGUACAGUUUGAGGAACCAUGAGUUAAAUAAACCUCUUUUCUUUAUAAAUCACCCAGCCUUGACUAUUCCUUCAUAGAAAUGGAAGCAGACUAAGACAGAGGGAGAUAGAGAUGGUGUAGGUGCAGAAGAGAAGCUGGGAGAGCAAGGUGGGGAGGAGGAAUGCAUCUCUGUAGUCCCCAUGGAGUGAGGGCCAAAGUCACUUGCUGAGGGGAGUGGGCAGGGGUUUGAGAGGGGAGUGAGGGUUGAAUGGAGGUUGGGUGGAACAGGGAGAUGACAGUUCUGAACAGUCUGGCAGUGCUGAGAACCCAGUGGCACUCAGUAGCCUGGGUAGGCAUGGAGAAGGUGAGGCCAUCAGACUGUCCCUGGGUAGGGUUUGCUGGGUGGGUGAGAGGCAAAACUGGGGCAGUGUCGGGGCGGAGUCUGGGCCCAUGAGGAAAGGAGGGUGGGAGGCAGGACAGACUCACAGGCUAUAAAUUUUGCAGAAUCUGAAGAAAGUCACAAAUGAGACUCAUCCCUUAAGUCUCCAGACAGUAACUAUGGUGCCAGGAUGACUCAGGCCCAAUCUUUUUGGGGCUUCCCAGUCAACAGUAGCCUGACCCUAAAAGAGCUGCUCUAAGCAUGGGCCCUGUACAGGGAACUGUGGAACAGUGGGCCUGUGAGGCAAGGUCCCUGGCCUGCACUACCCACCUGCCUUCCCGGGCAAGGCUGAUGUGCUGCUGAGAGCUAGGUGACCCUAUGAGGGGGCUAAGGGACCCCACUAGGGAGCUAG
Molecule: long non-coding RNA, 1144 nt
Filed under: Homo sapiens (human)
Lineage: Eukaryota; Metazoa; Chordata; Mammalia; Primates; Hominidae
Description: HSALNT0006943
Source: RNAcentral